CUCUCUAUAGACUAGUGGUCUUUACAGAAGGAGGUCUCUACUCUCUAUAGACUAGGGGUCUCUACAGAAGGAGGUCUCUACUCUCUAUAGACUAGUGGUCUCUACAGAAGGAGGUCUCUACUCUCUAUAGACUAGGGGUCUCUACAGAAGGAGGUCUCUACUCUCUAUAGACUAGGGGUCUCCACUAGGGGUCUUGGCUGACGGCUGGCGUAGAGGGAGGGGGUAGAGUGUGCUGCAGUAACCGUGGCGAUAGCAGGCAGAAGUGACAGCUGCAGGUGUGGACAGACAUAGGGCUGGAGAGAGGGAGCAACAGGCAGAACGAACGGCAACUGUUGGCCUAAUGCCUGGGGAUAAAUAAUAAACCAACUGUGAGAUAAGCACUGUUCUUCAGCAGGGGGAGAAAAGGCUGCUAGAAAGGGGGGGAAAUGCAUGACUUUUAAAUCCCGGCACCCGCAGUUUGGCACAGAAGAUUAGGCUCUGAAGUUUAAUUAAGCAGAUGUCGCCAUUAAUAUUUCAACUUCUGAGCAACCUGAUAUUGGACUGCGUGGUGAUGUCAUAUGCACAGGCAUCAGUACAUAAGCUGGAGAGCAAA
This 592-nucleotide long non-coding RNA is filed under the name Salmo salar (Atlantic salmon). RNAcentral describes it as "lncRNA (ENSSSAG00000091957.1)". Lineage: Eukaryota; Metazoa; Chordata; Actinopteri; Salmoniformes; Salmonidae. The record is from RNAcentral.